GCGGAUGUGGCGGAAUUGGUAGACGCGCCAGACUUAGGAUCUGGUGCCGCAAGGCGUGGGGGUUCGAGUCCCUUCAUCCGCA
Molecule: transfer RNA, 82 nt
Filed under: Bacteroidales bacterium
Lineage: Bacteria; Pseudomonadati; Bacteroidota; Bacteroidia; Bacteroidales
Also listed under: 1 other name
Description: tRNA-Leu
Rfam family: tRNA
About the family: Transfer RNA (tRNA) molecules are approximately 80 nucleotides in length. Their secondary structure includes four short double-helical elements and three loops (D, anti-codon, and T loops).
Source: RNAcentral